GCGAGUGGCGAACGGGUGAGUAAUACAUCGGAACGUACCCAGGAGUGGGGGAUAACGUAGCGAAAGUUACGCUAAUACCGCAUAUUCUGUGAGCAGGAAAGCGGGGGAUCGCAAGACCUCGCGCUCUUGGAGCGGCCGAUGUCGGAUUAGCUAGUUGGUGAGGUAAAAGCUCACCAAGGCGACGAUCCGUAGCAGGUCUGAGAGGAUGAUCUGCCACACUGGGACUGAGACACGGCCCAGACUCCUACGGGAGGCAGCAGUGGGGAAUUUUGGACAAUGGGGGCAACCCUGAUCCAGCCAUGCCGCGUGAGUGAAGAAGGCCUUCGGGUUGUAAAGCUCUUUCGGCGGGGAAGAAAUGGCAACGGCUAAUAUCCGUUGUUGAUGACGGUACCCGCAUAAGAAGCACCGGCUAACUACGUGCCAGCAGCCGCGGUAAUACGUAGGGUGCGAGCGUUAAUCGGAAUUACUGGGCGUAAAGCGUGCGCA
Molecule: ribosomal RNA, 486 nt
Filed under: uncultured Azospira sp.
Lineage: Bacteria; Pseudomonadati; Pseudomonadota; Betaproteobacteria; Rhodocyclales; Rhodocyclaceae
Description: bacterial SSU rRNA
Rfam family: Bacterial small subunit ribosomal RNA
Source: RNAcentral